This 355-nucleotide ribosomal RNA is filed under the name uncultured bacterium. Its description in RNAcentral is "bacterial SSU rRNA". It matches the Rfam family "Bacterial small subunit ribosomal RNA", at positions 1026 to 1382 of the family's 1533-position model. The record is from RNAcentral.
ACGCUAGUACAGGUGGUGCAUGGCUGUCGUCAGCUCGUGUCGUGAGAUGUUGGGUUAAGUCCCGCAACGAGCGCAACCUUACCCUUAGUUGUUUUCCCGAAAGGAUUACCCUCUAAGGGGACUGCCCCGGACAACGGGGAGGAAGGUGGGGGAUGACGUCAAGUCCGCAUGCUCCUUACGUCUAGGGCUACACACGUCCUACAAUGGGGUCGACAGUGGGAUGCAAAGCCGCGAGGUGGAGCCAAUCCCCAAACGGCCUCUCAGUUCGGAUAGUAGUCUGCAACUCGACUACUUGAAGUCGGAAUCGCUAGUAAUGGCGGAUCAGCAUGCCGCCGUGAAUACGUUCCCGGGUCUU